UAGCAGAAGUUAGGGACAGAUAGAUGG
This 27-nucleotide non-coding RNA is filed under the name Mus musculus (house mouse). Lineage: Eukaryota; Metazoa; Chordata; Mammalia; Rodentia; Muridae. The record is from RNAcentral.